Polypterus senegalus (gray bichir) is the source of this 232-nucleotide long non-coding RNA. RefSeq lists it as uncharacterized. The transcript has 3 exons. Lineage: Eukaryota; Metazoa; Chordata; Cladistia; Polypteriformes; Polypteridae. The record is from RefSeq and is a predicted model, not a curated record.
AGAUAUAUUACUGUUUACAUGCAGGCAGUAUUCCUGAGAAAGAUGCGCACUGUAGAAGCAAUUGCCUUUUUAAAAAGAUUUACUGCUGUUAGUCAACGCCAAAGUAUUCAGCCAAUGAUUACUGAAUGCUAUGUGGAAGCUUUGAAUUGGUUUUAUGAUGAAAUUAAAGAAGUUCAAGAGACCUAUGAAAGACACAAGGAUGACCCCAUAUUACCCAGGAAUAUCCCCCCUG